CUGGUUGAUCCUGCCAGUGGUAUAUGCUUGUCUCAANGACUAAGCCAUGCAAGUCUAAGUAUAAGUUAUUCUGAAGACGAAACUGCGAAUGGCUCGGUAAAACAGCAAUAAUUUCUUCGGUGAUGAUUUUACUCACGGAUAACCGUAGUAAUUCUAGAGCUAAUACGUGCUGAAAUAAGGUGGGGCUUGCUCCACCGUGCCGUUUAGAUAACAACACCAACUUUUGGUGAUUCAUAAUCGUCUUUCUGAUCGCUCUCGAGCGACACACCGUUCAAAUUUCUGACCUAUCAACUUUCGAUGGUAAGGUAGUGUCUUACCAUGGUAGUGACGGGUAACGGACCGUGGGUGCGGGACUCCGGAGAGGGAGCCUGAGAAACGGCUACCACAUCCAAGGAAGGCAGCAGGCGCGCAACUUACCCAAUCCAGACUCUGGGAGGUAGUGACAAGAAAUAUCAAUAGGGGAACCUUUGGUUCUUCUAAUUGGAAUGAGAUCGAGCUAAACAGCCAUAUCGAGCAUCCAGCAGAGGGCAAGUCUGGUGCCAGCAGCCGCGGUAAUUCCAGCUCUGUAAGCGUAUACCAAAGUUGUUGCAGUUAAAACGCUCGUAGUCGGACUUUGGCAAUUCCGGGAGUGUGCGCGUCGUGCGCAUGCUUUGCGGGGAUUGCUUUUGUGGUAUUGCGUGGGAUGAAGCAUUUUUAUUAAUGAACGUCCCUUCGCAACCACUUUUUACUGUGAGAAAAUCAGAGUGCUCAAAGCAGGCAUUUGCCGUGAAUGUAUUAGCAUGGAAUAAUAGAAUAGGACUUGUUUCUAUUUUGUUGGUUUGUUGGGAAUGAGUAAUGAUUAAGAGGGACAGUUGGGGGUAUUUGUAUUUCGGCGCUAGAGGUGAAAUUCUUAGAUUGCCGA
Molecule: ribosomal RNA, 901 nt
Filed under: Lithophyllum incrustans
Lineage: Eukaryota; Rhodophyta; Florideophyceae; Corallinales; Lithophyllaceae
Description: SSU rRNA
Rfam family: Eukaryotic small subunit ribosomal RNA
Source: RNAcentral